Molecule: non-coding RNA, 131 nt
Filed under: Aurantiochytrium limacinum
Lineage: Eukaryota; Bigyra; Thraustochytrida; Thraustochytriidae
Source: RNAcentral
AAAAAAGAAAGAAAAGAACGGUGAUACGUUCAUCAGCAGCAGGUUGCGCGUUCUUUUCCCUGUCGUUCUUUUUUUUUAACUUCUUUGUUUCCUUCUUUGGACUGACGUGAGCUAUAGUAGAAGAAGAAGUA